AUUGAACGCUGGCGGCAGGCCUAACACAUGCAAGUCGAGCGGUAGAGAGGUGCUUGCAUCUCUUGAGAGCGGCGGACGGGUGAGUAAUGCCUAGGAAUCUGCCUAGUGGUGGGGGAUAACGUUCGGAAACGGACGCUAAUACCGCAUACGUCCUACGGGAGAAAGCGGGGGAUCUUCGGACCUCGCGCCAUUAGAUGAGCCUAGGUCGGAUUAGCUAGUUGGUGAGGUAAUGGCUCACCAAGGCGACGAUCCGUAACUGGUCUGAGAGGAUGAUCAGUCACACUGGAACUGAGACACGGUCCAGACUCCUACGGGAGGCAGCAGUGGGGAAUAUUGGACAAUAGGCGAAAGCCUGAUCCAGCCAUGCCGCGUGUGUGAAGAAGGUCUUCGGAUUGUAAAGCACUUUAAGUUGGGAGGAAGGGUAGUAACCUAAUACGUUGCUACUUUGACGUUACCGACAGAAUAAGCACCGGCUAACUUCGUG
This 484-nucleotide ribosomal RNA is filed under the name uncultured bacterium. RNAcentral's name for it is "bacterial SSU rRNA". It matches the Rfam family "Bacterial small subunit ribosomal RNA", at positions 30 to 507 of the family's 1533-position model. The record is from RNAcentral.